This 750-nucleotide unclassified non-coding RNA is filed under the name Hevea brasiliensis (rubber tree). The record is from RNAcentral. Lineage: Eukaryota; Viridiplantae; Streptophyta; Magnoliopsida; Malpighiales; Euphorbiaceae.
CUAUUGAAUAUUUGAGUUCUUUAGAUGUUCCAGUGCACUGUAGGUCUGUUAAUAUUGAUGUUGUGGUGGCAUAGAAAAUGGGUCCAUUCCUUAUAAAAGAAGGCUUUUGGAGGAAUGGAAUUGUGCACCAUUCCAUUAACAUGAAUGAUUUUAUAUCCAUUGUUUGCCUGCAUAGCUAUUCCUUAUAAACAGCAUGAAUUAGAAGUUUGAGAAUACAGAUGGAAAGCGUCAUAUCUAGCUAGUUCAAUAGAUAAAAUGACUUUUUUCUUGGUCAAUUUGCAAACAUUCAGCCCAUAGUCUUGUGGGCAGUCUUCCUCCUACUGUUACACAUAUUUAGUCUAGUCAUACCUUCAUAAAAGUUCUGCUAUUUGUAUGAUUUAUUGCAUUAUGUUCACUUCCUUUCCUUUUUCAUUUAAAAAAAGGAAAAAACAAUAAGUUUCAACUUGGCUCUUCUACACUGGCAUCUUCAGUUUAUUCUAUUGAUUUAAAAAAAAAGAAAAACUUCCAUUUUAAUGAGUAUUUCCUUUAUUUGGCAAAAAGCAUUAAAAUAAUGGAGAGUGAUUAGCCCAUUUUUUUUAUUCCUUUGUUUAAUACAAGAAUCUUAUUAUCUUAGUUUGAGAGAGAAUAACUUUAUAAAAUCAGGUGGGUUUCUUGUUACUACUACUAGCGCAAGAUUACAAUUAGCGAGGAGUGAAAAUUGUACAAAAUAAGUGGAGAAACAAGAAGAGCUAGUUCCUUUAGUGGGAGCGA